CCUACGGGUGGCAGCAGUGGGGAAUAUUGGACAAUGGGGGAAACCCUGAUCCAGCGACGCCGCGUGAGUGAAGAAGUAUUUCGGUACGUAAAGCUCUAUCAGCAGGAAAGAAAAUGACGGUACCUGACUAAGAAGCCCCGGCUAAAUCCGUGACAGCCGCCGCGGUUAUUCGUAGGGGGCCAGGGGUAUCCGGAGUUACUGGGUGGAAAGGGGGCGUAGACGGGCGCGGAAGUCUGGAGGGAAAUGCCGGGGGCCAACCCCGGAACUGCUCUGGAAACUGUGAAGCUGGAGUGCAGGAGAGGUAAGCGGAAUUCGUGGUGUAGCGGUGAAAUGCGUAGAUAUCAGGAGGAACACCGGCGGCGAAGGCGGCUUACUGGACUGUAACUGACGUUGAGGCUCGAAGGCGUGGGGAGCAAACAGGAUUAGAUACCCUUGUAGUC
This 440-nucleotide ribosomal RNA is filed under the name uncultured bacterium. RNAcentral describes it as "partial 16S ribosomal RNA". It matches the Rfam family "Bacterial small subunit ribosomal RNA", at positions 338 to 795 of the family's 1533-position model. The record is from RNAcentral.